AGAAUCAACGCUGGCGGCGUGCCUAACACAUGCAAGUCGAACGAGAAAGUGGAGCAAUCCAUGAGUAAAGUGGCGCACGGGUGAGUAACACGUGACUAACCUACCCUUGAGUGGGGAAUAACUUCGGGAAACCGAGGCUAAUACCGCAUAACACCUACGGGUCAAAGGAGCAAUUCGCUUAAGGAGGGGGUCGCGGCAGAUUAGUUAGUUGGCGGGGUAAUGGCCCACCAAGACGGUGAUCUGUAUCCGGCCUGAGAGGGCGCACGGACACACUGGAACUGAAACACGGUCCAGACUCCUACGGGAGGCAGCAGUGGGAAUUUUGCGCAAUGGGGGAAACCCUGACGCAGCAACGCCGCGUGGAGGAUGAAGUCCCUUGGGGACGUAAACUCCUUUCGAUCGGGACGAUUAUGACGGUACCGGAAGAAGAAGCCCCGGCUAACUUCGUGCCAGCAGCCGC
Molecule: ribosomal RNA, 460 nt
Filed under: uncultured bacterium
Lineage: Bacteria
Description: SSU rRNA
Rfam family: Bacterial small subunit ribosomal RNA
Source: RNAcentral